CAGUAGCCGCGGUAAUACGGAGGGAGCUAGCGUUGUUCGGAAUCACUGGGCGUAAAGCGCACGUAGGCGGCUAUUCAAGUCAGGGGUGAAAGCCCGGGGCUCAACCCCGGAACUACCUUUGAAACUAGAUAGCUUGAAUCUUGGAGAGGCGAGUGGAAUUCCGAGUGUAGAGGUGAAAUUCGUAGAUAUUCGGAAGAACACCAGUGGCGAAGGCGACUCGCUGGACAAGUAUUGACGCUGAGGUGCGAAAGCGUGGGGAGCAAACAGGAUUAGAUACCCCCGUAGUCCCUGUCUCUUAUAC
RNAcentral lists this ribosomal RNA (301 nucleotides) under uncultured bacterium. RNAcentral describes it as "partial 16S ribosomal RNA". It matches the Rfam family "Bacterial small subunit ribosomal RNA", at positions 509 to 807 of the family's 1533-position model. The record is from RNAcentral.